RNAcentral lists this transfer RNA (64 nucleotides) under Thrips hawaiiensis. RNAcentral describes it as "tRNA-Thr". The record is from RNAcentral. Lineage: Eukaryota; Metazoa; Arthropoda; Insecta; Thysanoptera; Thripidae.
ACCAAUAUAGUUUAGAAAAUUUAUUAAUUUUGUAAAUUUAUAUUAUAAAUUAUUAUUGUUGGUA